This 844-nucleotide ribosomal RNA is filed under the name Pseudomonas gessardii. Its description in RNAcentral is "bacterial SSU rRNA". It matches the Rfam family "Bacterial small subunit ribosomal RNA", at positions 51 to 873 of the family's 1533-position model. The record is from RNAcentral. Lineage: Bacteria; Pseudomonadati; Pseudomonadota; Gammaproteobacteria; Pseudomonadales; Pseudomonadaceae.
ACACAUGCAAGUCGAGCGGUAGAGAGAAGCUUGCUUCUCUUGAGAGCGGCGGACGGGUGAGUAAUGCCUAGGAAUCUGCCUGGUAGUGGGGGAUAACGUUCGGAAACGGACGCUAAUACCGCAUACGUCCUACGGGAGAAAGCAGGGGACCUUCGGGCCUUGCGCUAUCAGAUGAGCCUAGGUCGGAUUAGCUAGUUGGUGAGGUAAUGGCUCACCAAGGCGACGAUCCGUAACUGGUCUGAGAGGAUGAUCAGUCACACUGGAACUGAGACACGGUCCAGACUCCUACGGGAGGCAGCAGUGGGGAAUAUUGGACAAUGGGCGAAAGCCUGAUCCAGCCAUGCCGCGUGUGUGAAGAAGGUCUUCGGAUUGUAAAGCACUUUAAGUUGGGAGGAAGGGUUGUAGAUUAAUACUCUGCAAUUUUGACGUUACCGACAGAAUAAGCACCGGCUAACUCUGUGCCAGCAGCCGCGGUAAUACAGAGGGUGCAAGCGUUAAUCGGAAUUACUGGGCGUAAAGCGCGCGUAGGUGGUUCGUUAAGUUGGAUGUGAAAGCCCCGGGCUCAACCUGGGAACUGCAUUCAAAACUGACGAGCUAGAGUAUGGUAGAGGGUGGUGGAAUUUCCUGUGUAGCGGUGAAAUGCGUAGAUAUAGGAAGGAACACCAGUGGCGAAGGCGACCACCUGGACUGAUACUGACACUGAGGUGCGAAAGCGUGGGGAGCAAACAGGAUUAGAUACCCUGGUAGUCCACGCCGUAAACGAUGUCAACUAGCCGUUGGAAUCCUUGAGAUUUUAGUGGCGCAGCUAACGCAUUAAGUGACCGCCUGGACACGCCAUGAAAAC